Salmo salar (Atlantic salmon) is the source of this 777-nucleotide long non-coding RNA. RefSeq lists it as uncharacterized. The record is from RefSeq and is a predicted model, not a curated record. Lineage: Eukaryota; Metazoa; Chordata; Actinopteri; Salmoniformes; Salmonidae.
GCGAGUAGAAGCAGUGUAAAAAAAACAUAGGGUGGCGGAUGUCAAUGUAAAUAGUCCGGCUGGCCAUUUGAUUUAUUGUUCAGCAGUCUUAUGGCUUGGUGGUAGAAGCUGAUAAGGAGCCUUUUGGACCUAGACUUGGCACUCCGGUACCGCUUGCCGUACGGUAGCAAAGAGAGUCUCUUACUUCGGUGACUGGAGUCUGACAACUUGUUGGGCCUUCCUCUGACACCGCCUAGUAUAUAGGUCCUGGCGCAUGCGCACUUGGGUCAAAAACAAUACAUUCUUUCCAGACAAUAUAUGUUUUCGGUUGCUUGGAAAUGUUUAUGUAAAACUUUUUUGGAAGUACAUACCGGGCUGGACGGCAGUAAAUGACGAUAGUUGCUCAGCGAAACUCGAUAUUUGAAAGGUAAGGUAUCCAUGAAGAUUUUGUCUACAAUGGGCGGUGGGGGAACCAGGUCCUCCAGCUUCAGGUAGAAGAUGCGCUGCAGGCCCUGGGUGCAGAGGGUGCGCAGCUCAGGGAGCUUCCCCAGUAGUCGGGACAGGAAGUUGGGCUGGGGCCUCCCCGCAUCGGAGCCACUGCUGGACACAUGGUCCCUCAGACAGGUGAUGAGGCAGUUCUGGAACUCCUCCACCCGUUUGGGCUCUUUAAGGCCAUGGCGAUCUGAGGAGAAACCACAAGGAGUAACAUCUUGAUGAGAAAUGUGAAUGGGCAUUUUACUGUACCAUUUACAACUGCUGUGUCCUGUGCACGUGAGCAAUAAACUCUGAUUCAUUUGA